GAGGAAUAUUGGACAAUGGAUGGAAAUCUGAUCCAGCCAUGCCGCGUGAAGGACGACGGUCCUAUGGAUUGUAAACUUCUUUUGUAUGGGAGCAAUAAGGUCUACGUGUAGAUCGAUGAGAGUACCAUACGAAUAAGCAUCGGCUAACUCCGUGCCAGCAGCCGCGGUAAUACGGAGGAUGCGAGCGUUAUCCGGAUUUAUUGGGUUUAAAGGGUGCGUAGGCGGUUGUAUAAGUCAGCGGUGAAAUUUUCCGGCUUAACCGGGAGACUGCCGUUGAUACUGUAUAGCUUGAAUACGGUUGCUGUGAGUGGAAUGUGUGGUGUAGCGGUGAAAUGCAUAGAUAUCACACAGAAUAUCGAUUGCGAAGGCAGCUCACAAAGCCGUUAUUGACGCUGAUGCACGAAAGUGUGGGGAUCAAAC
RNAcentral lists this ribosomal RNA (420 nucleotides) under uncultured bacterium. RNAcentral's name for it is "bacterial SSU rRNA". It matches the Rfam family "Bacterial small subunit ribosomal RNA", at positions 356 to 773 of the family's 1533-position model. The record is from RNAcentral.